Long non-coding RNA from Brienomyrus brachyistius, 4342 nucleotides. RefSeq lists it as uncharacterized. The transcript has 2 exons. The record is from RefSeq and is a predicted model, not a curated record. Lineage: Eukaryota; Metazoa; Chordata; Actinopteri; Osteoglossiformes; Mormyridae.
CAAACUGGCUCGUUGUUAAAAAGCCAUCAUCCACUCACUGCCAUUUGUCUCCCAACUGUAGUUUUUACCCUGCAUCCAUUUCCCCCCCCCCAACCCUGUAAACAACUUAAUCACCAAUCAGCCAGGCUGGUGGAUGAAGCAAAUGACCACAGUCAUCAGUCUGAAUGGGAAAAUUAUACCGGGCAACUUCGGGAGAUCAGGAGAGGCGUACUCUGCUGUACUCCUCCGUCUUGCAGUCGCAUAAUGAAAUGCGACAGUGUGAAUAAAUUCAAAAAAAGGCAAAAGCUUGGAAGGUGUAAUCAAUCUUCUAAUUAUCAGUGAGAAGCAGAGGAUUCGGCUUAUUAGAUGGCGCUAUAAAACAUAGGGAGGUGGAAACCUAAAAUGUCCAGAUGAUGGAAUGGAUGUAUAGCUUCAUUUAAGGGUUAAUAUUUAACAGGCCAUAUUCGCCUUUUUUGACUGUUUGGGAUUUCCUGGAAACAUAUAAUUCAUGGCAGUUAAGCCAUGUUCUGUGUAUUAACCCCUAACCACAGCCCCCACCCCUUCAUGUGGCAAUGGUUCGCUCCAACCCUGGGAGAGAAAGAUGAAAGUGACAAGGAUGGGCGAGAACAGGCCAUCGGGCCUGCAUAUGGCGCGGGUGAGUUAACUGAACUGGGCUGGCGAGCGUGUCGGUGCGGCUGGGGCGGGCAGAGGGAGGCGGACCUCUGCUAAUCAGCCUGAGCUGCCGCUUCCAAUAGGAGAGAGCAGAAGCGUGAGAGAGAACAGAGAGAGUCGAGGUCAGGCGGCGGAAGAAAGUUUUCCCUCGAUGUUGAAGAGUAUGUCGAUUCACCGCCCCCCCCCCCUUCCCAUGGGGGUUAAAUUAACUCAGGCAUGGUGUUUGUUUCCGUUGGCCUCCCCCGGCCAGUCUGGCAGGUGAGCGUCACCACCAUCCAUUCUGGUUUCACGGGAGUAUACGGUGAGUGAUCUCAGCUUAGGGGAUGUUUAAUGAGUGCAAUCUCCGUUAUGCACCUUCAGCCCUGUCUGGUGCUUCACAUCCCUCACCCGUUAUCGGACGUUACCGCGGGAACAGAGGCGGACCUUGGGCUGUGAGCGCCUGGCUCUUACCUAGCGGAGAAACGAGCCAAAAAUGUCGGGAUGUGACGUCUAUUUAAAGUUUAACUCUCGCUAUCGCGUCGCCACCUUUCUCUCCACGCCGCUCCCAAAUUAGCCUGCGAUAAUGUUUUAGCACUCGGUAGGAACACAAACCAAAGAUAAAGAAGAGCCUACGGAGCCGACUACAAACCAGCAGGACACAGUGAAAGCCGCAUACUAGGUAGCCAUGGAAACGGUUCCCGUGUGACCCAGAGGCCUCUGUUGUUAGCACACAUUAGGCUAAUGGAACGUACAGCGAUCAGGGACAAAGCUAAAUUUUUACACGGAGGGGCACUGGGUCAGUGCGAGUAUUCCCAUUCAAAACAAAAAAAAAAAAAACAAUAUACGGUUGAGAAAGGCAGCUGAGGUGCUGACCUCAUGUACACUGUGUGUGGCCUCAAUGGUGAUGAGGUAAUCAGAGACGUGGCCUACCAUUGGCCAAGUGUGAGCUCAUCGCUGGGACAGCUGGCCCACCUGGAGACAUACAGGGCUGGAUUAGCAUGAUCAGUCCCCGGCUACCCAGUCUUUAACUGGGCACAAGGGAGCGUCACCUGCCUACACAGCCCCCGCCAAACGGCAUACGCACAUGACAUACGGCCUGGUGCUUAACAUACUGGAACACGCUAGGGGUCAGUCGUUUUUUUCUUAGUAGAGGAUGCGAACACGGAAAAAAGGCCCAAUGACAGACUGGCACAGCAAAACCUGUGCUAUCAGUCCUCCAUCACGGGGCAGCCUAGCAAGCAUCAGUGUUAGAGUCAGCACCAUAUCUAUGUAAGACCAAGACCAAGACCACGGUCGACAGAAUCAGAGUGGGAUCCCCUCGUAAGCCAAUUGCUGACCAUAUUCAAAUCAGUCUGUAACCGCAUCCAAUCAAAGACGUUCAUUUUUGUUACAUCACAUGAUUUUGAUUGCGCCUGUUCAUUAAAGGGUGUCAAAAACAUCCCAGUCAUGUCUCUCCCUAUGUUUUCUACGGGAAGACAAAACACAAAAGCCAUUCAAUCCACCAUUCAUUCAUUUUUCAAAAUCAACCCACUCUGGCUGAUCCAGAAUACAUCCCAGAAAGCACAGCACAAAAAGCAGGAUGCACUCUGGGUAGAAUCUCUAUUCAUCUCGGGGGCAAUCAUACACUUUACAGGCAAUUCGGGGUCACCGAUUCGCUUGACCCACACGCCUUUCCAAGGCGAGAUGAUGUACGAACACAACACUGGACAAAAACACACGCAUGGAUGGAGGACCAAAUUUUAAAACCUUGCCCCCAGCCCCAGAGGCCCGAGGCAAACAGCAAAAACUGCUGGUUUCACGCCACGUACCACUAAACACCACAAGCCAAAAAACAAUAAGUCCUCCCGACAUUGCAAGCUACUGGCCGAAGCUAUCUGUUGUUCGGAGAUGUUCCACCUUCUGCCAAAACGGGCCAGAACAGCAGGCCUCUUUUGGAGACGUGUGUCCCCAGGUCCAGACUACUAACCGACAGAAUGAGUGACGUACACCUAACACAAGAAAGGAGCACAUUUGUAUGCAAAACUAGCUAGUCCUGAUUUUAAUAGACUUUUGAAGCAGCCGAUCGUCAUUUACUUAAUCUCCCCAUUUGCAUGCAUAACGUAGUGAAAGAUAGAGCGCGGUCGCAUUUCAUUGGCCCCUGUGCAGCCUUAAGCCGACUCCAGCGGAAGUGGUACCAGCAGCGCUGGUGACACCAUUAUCACACCCCCCCCCCCACAACUUAUGCCCACCAGGACCAGCAUGAAGCAGUCAUUAAAUCGACAAGCGAACACAUAAUCUCCUAAUAAUUGAGCCUGAUGACAGAAGCUCUGUGGACUACUUGACAUUGUGAUUCAAAGUGAGCUUUGUUUGGAAAGCACUUCAGUGGGACUGCCCCUCUAAUCUGUCAGCUACUCUGCCAGCGGAUGAUGUCUGAAUACUGCUUUUCUUGGAAGACUUCAGCUUCAUUACCCUUUAUCAUCCUUCCUGUCCUAAUUUCUAACCGUUACUUAGGCACAACAAACCCAAAUUAAGGGCAACUUUACUAGAACAUGUUUUAUCCAUCUACCCCCCCCCCCCACAAAAAAAGUGAUAUUUAAAACAAUCAUCACUUUUGUAUUAGCGAAAUUUUCAUACGUAUUUAUAUGCAUAACAUGACAUUUGCGUAAAUGUACACCAUGUGGAAUUACAUUGAAGUAGAUGUUAUGUCACGAGCAUUUCAGGAGAUGCAAAGUUCACUCAACACAGAACUGCACUGUAACAUAAUUAUCACCCUCCUGGGCCACUAUAGCCACAUGUUAUUGGGUGGGAUUAUACUGUAAAUUACGGAGCGAUUUGCAUCAAUAAGAACCAGCAAAAUAACCAUUGAGAGAAGGAUUAAAGCGGCACAUGACGCCAAGCCGCCACAGCUUUCUAAUCCUAUUGCUAGUGGCCACCAUUCACAGAACACGCUGUCAUUCAUGAUGCAAUAUUUACGGUCAGUGAAAUCAGCCCCGUUUCCUUUCAGAAUGACAUCUGCCGCUUCCGAGUGAUGACGGCUGCCGAUAGCUACUGGGAUCUCUGAGGUGGGCUGAGAAACCGGCGGGUCUAUGAGGCUGUUGUGCACCGGACCUUCCAUGAUCCUUACCAACAUCAAAAUCGAUGUCACAAUAGGAAUCGACUCCUACAGGCUGACAGUGUCAAUAGGAAAGCCGGGACGGAGCCGAGGCCAGACGGACUGCCUUCCACCUAGGGCAACGCUCCCGGCGUGGCCGGAGGCGCAAACGGUAGCGCACCGCAUCCUCAGAGGGCGCCCUGGAUUGCAAACCACUCACCAUUGCGGUCGUGGCGGAUCAGGUCGAACUCCCAGCAGGAAUCACGCAGCUUUGCCGCCGCCGCAGCAGUAACCGGCCUACAUACACACAUCGCCAGGUAUCCGCCCCGACUUCCGAGCGAGCGUCAGCCGCAUGAUCGAGCGGCUCCUGGUGUGACCUCCAUAUAUCGGGCCUUGCACCUGACUUCUCUGUACCUUACGCACUUCAAGAGUGUCACAGACAUUUUAUUUAAUUGUUUUAUACGUAUACCAAAAGCCUCCUAACUUCAUGCCCAAAGAAUGAUUUCUCUUACGUAUGCGUUGGUAAAUCCCCCCACCCCAUUACCGGUGGGUAAGAACCUUUAGUUACUAGUUCACUGCAUAAUUACUCUAGUGACUUUCAAUUGUAACUACAUUGCUUUAAUAAAAAUACCUUAUAACAGA